RNAcentral lists this ribosomal RNA (433 nucleotides) under uncultured bacterium. RNAcentral describes it as "partial 16S ribosomal RNA". It matches the Rfam family "Bacterial small subunit ribosomal RNA", at positions 29 to 507 of the family's 1533-position model. The record is from RNAcentral.
AACGGACGCUGGCGGCAUGCCUAACACAUGCAAGUCGAACGAGACCUUCGGGUCUAGUGGCGCACGGGUGCGUAACGCGUGGGAACCUGCCCUUAGGUUCGGAAUAACUCCCCGAAAGGGGUGCUAAUACCGGAUAAUGUCUUCGGACCAAAGAUUUAUCGCCUUUGGAUGGGCCCGCGUUGGAUUAGCUAGUUGGUAGGGUAAAAGCCUACCACGGCGACGAUCCAUAGCUGGUCUGAGAGGAUGAUCAGCCACACUGGGACUGAGACACGGCCCAGACUCCUACGGGAGGCAGCAGUGGGGAAUAUUGGACAAUGGGCGAAAGCCUGAUCCAGCAAUGCCGCGUGAGUGAUGAAGGCCUUAGGGUUGUAAAGCUCUUUUACCCGGGAUGAUAAUGACAGUACCGGGAGAAUAAGCUCCGGCUAACUCCGUG